Molecule: unclassified non-coding RNA, 391 nt
Filed under: uncultured fungus
Lineage: Eukaryota; Fungi
Description: partial contains small subunit ribosomal RNA, internal transcribed spacer 1, and 5.8S ribosomal RNA
Rfam family: Eukaryotic small subunit ribosomal RNA (bases 1-73)
Source: RNAcentral
GCAAACUUGGUCAUUUAGAGGAAGUAAAAGUCGUAACAAGGUUUCCGUAGGUGAACCUGCGGAAGGAUCAUUAUUGAAUAAACUUGGUGGGUUGUUGCUGGCUCUUCGGAGCAUGUGCACGCCUGCUAACUUUAUCUAUCCACCUGUGCACCCUUUGUAGUCUUGGUAGAUGAUAGUGGGCAAUAACCUCGAUAAGGGCCCUUUGGUCUUUUCGGAUGUAAGGAAUGCCUUUGUGGCUUUCCCUGAAUGCCUUAUUAUCACUUCUGGGACUAUGUUUUUCCAUAUACCAUAUUGCAUAUAAUAGAAUGUAUCUAGUGGCCUCUGUGCCUAUAAAAACAGUACAACUUUCAGCAACGGAUCUCUUGGCUCUCGCAUCGAUGAAGAACGCAGC